UAGAGUUUGAUCCUGGCGCAGAAUCAACGCUGGCGGCGUGCCUAACACAUGCAAGUCGAACGAGAAAGGGGCUUCGGCCCUGAGUAAAGUGGCGGACGGGUGAGUAACACGUGGGUGAUCUGCCCUCCAGUGGGGGAUAACACACCGAAAGGUGUGCUAAUACCGCAUGGAGUUCCGGUUGUCAUGACCGGAAUGAAAGCAGCAAUGUGCUGGAGGAGGAGCCCGCGCCGGAUUAGCUAGUUGGUGGGGUAACGGCCCACCAAGGCUACGAUCCGUAGCCGGCCUGAGAGGGUGACCGGCCACACUGGAACUGAGACACGGUCCAGACUCCUACGGGAGGCAGCAGUGGGGAAUUUUGCGCAAUGGGGGCAACCCUGACGCAGCAACGCCGCGUGGACGAUGAAGGCCUUUGGGUCGUAAAGUCCUGUCAGCAGGGAAAAACAAAAUGAUGGUACCUGCAGAGGAAGCUCCGGCUAACUUCGUGCCAGCAGCCGCGGUAAUACGAGGGGAGCAAGCGUUGUUCGGAAUCAUUGGGCGUAAAGGGCGCGUAGGCGGCCGUACAAGUCUGGGGUGAAAGCCCUCGGCUCAACCGAGGAAUUGCCUUGGAAACUGUAUGGCUUGAGUAUUGGAGAGGAAGGCGGAAUUCCCAGUGUAGCGGUGAAAUGCGUAGAUAUUGGGAGGAACACCUGUGGCGAAGGCGGCUUUCUGGACAAUCACUGACGCUGAGGCGCGAAAGCCAGGGGAGCAAACGGGAUUAGAUACCCCGGUAGUCCUGGCUGUAAACGAUGGAUACUUGGUGUGGGAGGUAUUGAGUCCUCCCGUGCCGACGAUAACUCAGUAAGUAUCCCGCCUGGGGAGUACGGUCGCAAGACUGAAACUCAAAGGAAUUGACGGGGGCCCGCACAAGCGGUGGAGCAUGUGGUUUAAUUCGACGCAACGCGAAGAACCUUACCCGGGUUUGAACUGUAGUGGACCGGUGCAGAGAUGCGCCUUUCUCUUCGGAGACUGCUGCAGAGGUGCUGCAUGGCUGUCGUCAGCUCGUGUCGUGAGAUGUUGGGUUAAGUCCCGCAACGAGCGCAACCCUUACUCUUAGUUGCUAACACGUAAUGGUGAGCACCCUAGGAGAACUGUCGGCGAAAAGCCGGAGGAAGGUGGGGAUGACGUCAAGUCCUCAUGGCCUUUAUGUCCGGGGCUACACACGUGCUACAAUGGGCGGCACAAAGGGUUGCUAAAUCGCAAGAUCUCAGCUAAUCCCGAAAAGCCGUUCUCAGUUCGGAUUGCAGUCUGCAACUCGACUGCAUGAAGUUGGAAUCGCUAGUAAUCGCGGAUCAGCAUGCCGCGGUGAAUACGUUCCCGGGCCUUGUACACACCGCCCGUCACAUCACGAAAGUGGGUUGUACUAGAAAUCACCCAGCUAACCCGCAAGGGACGCAGGUGCUGAAGGUAUGGUCCAUGAUUGGGGUGAAGUCGUAACAAGGUAACC
This 1483-nucleotide ribosomal RNA is filed under the name uncultured bacterium. RNAcentral's name for it is "bacterial SSU rRNA". It matches the Rfam family "Bacterial small subunit ribosomal RNA". The record is from RNAcentral.